AUGGAGGCGGCUUGCAACAUCAGUUCUUCUCCGCCGGGCGCUGCUAGGGAAGUUUUGACCACCAGAGGGCGCAAGAACCACGAGCCCCGCCGUCCGAGUUCCCGCUUCCCUCCGCCACGGUGGUCCAGCUUUGUUUGGCUCCUGUGCAUAUACUUUGCUCUUCAACCGUUUAAUGAAAAAUCUCAAACACACAGAAGAAGGAACGGUACCACGAACACCUACACGCCCACCACCUACGUUCUGCUGUCCACGUUUGAUGCACCUGCUUCAUCUUACAUUUUUUUAAAGAUUUUAUUUAUUUAUUUGACAGAGAGAGACAGCCAGUGAAAGAGGGAACACAAGCAGGGGGAGUGGGAAAGGAAGAAGCAGGCUCGCAGUGGAGUAGGGAGCCCGAUGCGGGGUUUGAUCCCAGACCCUGGGAUCACCCCUGAGCCGAAGGCAGACGCUUAAUGACUGAGCCACCCAGGUGCCCCUCAUCUUACGUUUUGUGCGUUGGAAGUACGUUCCAGGCAUCAGGUCUCCUACUCAAAAUCCAUCAGCCAUGCACUCCCCUUCCAGUGCCUCUAACCAGGAGCGAGGGAGCUCUUCACUUCCAACUGAUGAAGAGACCUGUGGGCUGAGGGGAGGCUCUCCUGUCUGCCUAGCAGGAAAUCUCUCUGGGGUCCAGCGAAGUUCCUAAUUCACAGGGCUGUGUCCCUGCAUGAGCAGUUUAACUUGCCUUUGCCUGAGCAGACCAGUGGCAGCAGGAAGGCCCUUCUAGUGCACCUUGCAGUCUCUCCCGCAGGAGGCUUCCCGUCCCCCACCUCCACGCCAGGUAGCUCCAGGAGAGUUCCAACUGUCAGGGUGUACAUCCCACUCUUCAUAUUCCAAACAAGUGACUGCCACCAUUUGCCCAACAGGAUGAGCCUCUUGUGACCUUCCGGGCUCAGCUUGAGAUCAUAACCGUGGGCACUCUUUCUUCGCUUCUGUCUAGACCCAUUUGACUUUCAUUGUACCGGCAGCCCUUCCUUCCAGGCCAAGGUCUGGUCUUCAGAUACCCCCUAGUUACGCCAGAAGUGGAGGGUGCAUUUAUGUUUCUAAAUUCACUUGCUCAUUUGGCAUUGUUUCUGAAAGAGAAAGUGCAGCAGCAAUUUUAUUUGUCAAAAUCUUUAACAUGAAAAUGUUAAUGUCCUAGGGAUUGGGGGAAGGUGGAGGGGGACAGGAGGCGACUUUGGGGGUGAUGGAUAUGAUAUGUUGGUUAGCCUGAUUGUGCUGAUGGUUUCAUGGAUAUAUACACAUGUCAAUAUCUAACUGUCUGCUUUCAACGUGUGCAGUUUCUCAUACGUCAAUUAUGCUUCAAUAGAGCUGUUAAAAUAGGUUUAAUUAAUGAUGAUAUAUUGCAACUUGUCAUUAAAACUUUAUUUUUAAGCUAUUUAUUGAAGUACAAGUGUACAAACAGCAACAUACAUAAAUCUUGAAAUACAGCAUAAUUAAUUUUUCAUGUGUAUACUAUAAACUACAGGAUACUUCCAGUACCUUAGAUGGUCCCUCGUGCCCUCCCAGUUAGUACCCAUUGGAGGUGAGCUCUACUCUGACCUCUAGCAUCACGGAUGGGUUUAGCCCAUUCUUGAACUUUGCAUUAAUAGAAAUGCAUCCACGUUGAUGCUUGUAAAUAGUUUGCUCGUUUCUCAUUGCCAUGUAGUAUCCCAUUUUAUGACUAUAUCAUAAUUUAUUUAAUUAUUCUAUUAUUGAGGAAAAUUUGGGUUGUUUCCAUCUGGGGCUACUUUGAAUAAAGCCACU
Molecule: long non-coding RNA, 1779 nt
Organism: Ailuropoda melanoleuca (giant panda)
Lineage: Eukaryota; Metazoa; Chordata; Mammalia; Carnivora; Ursidae
Source: Ensembl